Molecule: ribosomal RNA, 480 nt
Filed under: Pseudagrion spernatum
Lineage: Eukaryota; Metazoa; Arthropoda; Insecta; Odonata; Coenagrionidae
Description: partial 16S ribosomal RNA
Rfam family: Bacterial large subunit ribosomal RNA
Source: RNAcentral
AACAAAAACAUGUCCUCUUGUUUUUAUUUGAGGUCUGACCUGCCCAGUGAAUAGUAUAUUUUAACGGCCGCGGUAUAUUGACCGUGAAAGGUAGCAUAAUCAUUAGUCUUUUAAUAGGAGGCUGGAAUGAAGGGUUUGACGAAAAGUUAGCUGUCUCAGUUAUAAAUUUGAACUUAACUUUUAAGUUAAAAGGCUUAAAUAUUGUUGGUGGACGAGAAGACCCUAUAGAGCUUUACAUUUAUUUAAAUAUAUUUAUUUAGUACUAUUAUUUGAAUUUAUUUUUAAUAAUUGUUUUGUUGGGGUGACAAAAAAUAUAAGUUUAACUUUUGUUAUUUUAUAGUCAUUAAUUUAUGUUUAUUGGAUCCAAAAUUUUUGAUCAUUAGUUUAAGUUACCUUAGGGAUAACAGCGUAAUCUUCUUUCAGAGUUCAAAUUUACAAGAAGGCUUGCGACCUCGAUGUUGGAUUAAGAUAAUAAUUAGG